UACAGAGGUCCCAAGCGUUGUUCGGAUUCACUGGGCGUAAAGGGCGCGUAGGCGGCCAACUAAGUCAGACGUGAAAUCCCUCGGCUCAACCGGGGAACUGCGUCUGAUACUGGAUGGCUUGAAUUCGGGAGAGGGAUGCGGAAUUCCAGGUGUAGCGGUGAAAUGCGUAGAUAUCUGGAGGAACACCGGUGGCGAAGGCGGCAUCCUGGACCGAGAUUGACGCUGAUGCGCGAAAGCCAGGGGAGCAAACGGG
Molecule: ribosomal RNA, 253 nt
Filed under: uncultured bacterium
Lineage: Bacteria
Description: partial 16S ribosomal RNA
Rfam family: Bacterial small subunit ribosomal RNA
Source: RNAcentral